AGUGAACGCUGGCGGUAGGCCUAACACAUGCAAGUCGAACGGCAGCACAGUAAGAGCUUGCUCUUACGGGUGGCGAGUGGCGGACGGGUGCGGAAUACAUCGGAAUCUACUUUUUCGUGGGGGAUAACGUAGGGGAACUUACGCUAAUACCGCAUACGACCUACGGGUGAAAGCAGGGGAUCUUCGGACCUUGCGCGAUUGAAUGAGCCGAUGUCGGAUUAGCUAGUUGGCGGGGUAAAGGCCCACCAAGGCGACGAUCCGUAGCUGGUCUGAGAGGAUGAUCAGGCACACUGGAACUGAGACACGGUCCAGACUCCUACGGGAGGCAGCAGUGGGGAAUAUUGGACAAAGGGCGCAAGCCUGAUCCAGCCAUGCCGCGUGGGUGAAGAAGGCCUUCGGAUUGUAAAGCCCUUUUGUUGGGAAAGAAAGGCAGCAGGUUAAUACCCCGCUGUUCUGACGGUACCCAAAGAAUAAGCACCGGCUAACUUCGUG
This 492-nucleotide ribosomal RNA is filed under the name uncultured bacterium. RNAcentral describes it as "partial 16S ribosomal RNA". It matches the Rfam family "Bacterial small subunit ribosomal RNA", at positions 29 to 507 of the family's 1533-position model. The record is from RNAcentral.